Non-coding RNA from Caenorhabditis elegans, 500 nucleotides. Lineage: Eukaryota; Metazoa; Nematoda; Chromadorea; Rhabditida; Rhabditidae. The record is from Ensembl.
GUUUACCCUGGAUUGCCAGUUGCUUUCCCGAAAAAAUCUGCAGUUUCACGUUUGUGUGUUAAUUGUUGUCAGUUUCCUUCCCGCAGAUAUUUCAGCAGUUUCACGCUUCUGUGUUAAUGAACAACGGGAAAUUGAGCAACAUUAGCGACAAGCAUUAUCCAUUUUAUACUCAUUGAAUCAUUCUCCGAUACACACCUCUGAUUGUAAGAAUUCUCAGUAUUGUAUAAAAAAAUCUACAAAGGGUCGUGACAACUCAAACGAAGAGUGGCACGGCUGUGGAACUACUGACUGCACUAGCGCUGGCUGUAAGAAAAACGCCGAUGGUAGCAACGUUUGCUGUUGCCAAGGAUAUCUCUGUAAUUCCGGAAUGAGUUUCUCAAAAACUGAAUUUUCUUCACUUCUUCUUACAGUUCUUUCGGUGAUUUACAUGUACGUUUAAUGAGAAGAGCAUGUAUUGAUUUUUGCCAGAAAAUGAAAAUAUUUGUCAGCAUUUUGAAACA